UACAGAGGUCUCAAGCGUUGUUCGGAUUCAUUGGGCGUAAAGGGUGCGUAGGCGGCGCGGUAAGUCGGGUGUGAAAUCUCGGAGCUUAACUCCGAAACUGCAUUCGAUACUGCCGUGCUUGAGGACUGGAGAGGAGACUGGAAUUUACGGUGUAGCGGUGAAAUGCGUAGAUAUCUGGAGGAAUACCGGUGGCGAAGGCGGCAUCCUGGACCGACAUUGACGCUGAUGAGCGAAAGCUAGGGGAGCAAACGGG
This 253-nucleotide ribosomal RNA is filed under the name uncultured bacterium. Its description in RNAcentral is "partial 16S ribosomal RNA". It matches the Rfam family "Bacterial small subunit ribosomal RNA", at positions 524 to 776 of the family's 1533-position model. The record is from RNAcentral.